UACGUAGGGUGCAGGCGUUAAUCGGAAUUACUGGGCGUAAAGCGUGCGCAGGCGGUUUCUUAAGUCAGAUGUGAAAGCCCCGGGCUUAACCUGGGAAUUGCGUUUGAAACUGGGAGACUUGAGUGUGGCAGAGGGGGGUGGAAUUCCACGUGUAGCAGUGAAAUGCGUAGAUAUGUGGAGGAACACCGAUGGCGAAGGCAGCCCCCUGGGCUAACACUGACGCUCAUGCACGAAAGCGUGGGGAGCAAACAGG
Molecule: ribosomal RNA, 253 nt
Filed under: uncultured bacterium
Lineage: Bacteria
Description: partial 16S ribosomal RNA
Rfam family: Bacterial small subunit ribosomal RNA
Source: RNAcentral